Molecule: ribosomal RNA, 1046 nt
Filed under: Escherichia coli
Lineage: Bacteria; Pseudomonadati; Pseudomonadota; Gammaproteobacteria; Enterobacterales; Enterobacteriaceae
Description: partial 23S ribosomal RNA
Rfam family: Bacterial large subunit ribosomal RNA
Source: RNAcentral
GGGACACGUGGUAUCCUGUCUGAAUAUGGGGGGACCAUCCUCCAAGGCUAAAUACUCCUGACUGACCGAUAGUGAACCAGUACCGUGAGGGAAAGGCGAAAAGAACCCCGGCGAGGGGAGUGAAAAAGAACCUGAAACCGUGUACGUACAAGCAGUGGGAGCACGCUUAGGCGUGUGACUGCGUACCUUUUGUAUAAUGGGUCAGCGACUUAUAUUCUGUAGCAAGGUUAACCGAAUAGGGGAGCCGAAGGGAAACCGAGUCUUAACUGGGCGUUAAGUUGCAGGGUAUAGACCCGAAACCCGGUGAUCUAGCCAUGGGCAGGUUGAAGGUUGGGUAACACUAACUGGAGGACCGAACCGACUAAUGUUGAAAAAUUAGCGGAUGACUUGUGGCUGGGGGUGAAAGGCCAAUCAAACCGGGAGAUAGCUGGUUCUCCCCGAAAGCUAUUUAGGUAGCGCCUCGUGAAUUCAUCUCCGGGGGUAGAGCACUGUUUCGGCAAGGGGGUCAUCCCGACUUACCAACCCGAUGCAAACUGCGAAUACCGGAGAAUGUUAUCACGGGAGACACACGGCGGGUGCUAACGUCCGUCGUGAAGAGGGAAACAACCCAGACCGCCAGCUAAGGUCCCAAAGUCAUGGUUAAGUGGGAAACGAUGUGGGAAGGCCCAGACAGCCAGGAUGUUGGCUUAGAAGCAGCCAUCAUUUAAAGAAAGCGUAAUAGCUCACUGGUCGAGUCGGCCUGCGCGGAAGAUGUAACGGGGCUAAACCAUGCACCGAAGCUGCGGCAGCGACGCUUAUGCGUUGUUGGGUAGGGGAGCGUUCUGUAAGCCUGCGAAGGUGUGCUGUGAGGCAUGCUGGAGGUAUCAGAAGUGCGAAUGCUGACAUAAGUAACGAUAAAGCGGGUGAAAAGCCCGCUCGCCGGAAGACCAAGGGUUCCUGUCCAACGUUAAUCGGGGCAGGGUGAGUCGACCCCUAAGGCGAGGCCGAAAGGCGUAGUCGAUGGGAAACAGGUUAAUAUUCCUGUACUUGGUGUUACUGCGAAGGGG